CUUCAGUCUUUACCCGCGACUCUCGCCUGGAUGGCCAGACAAAAGUCUUUCCACAUCGAGAUUACACAGAACUCAUUUGCUCUCUAGUUCACUUCUGCUAUUUUAUGGCUUUUCCCCCUCAGCACUUUAAUCAAGGAAUGAAACCUAGCAUCACCAAUAGGGAGCACAAAGUCAAGAAGAUGAACAAUACCCGGCCUGGUCUAGUCUGGAGAGGGUUCUAAGUGUCCACAUGCAGCCCUUGGCAAGUCUACAGGACUCACACCUUGCCUGGUAUGCUCCAGGACCUGGGUGCCAUUCUUACUACUAGAAAAAAAUCCAUGCCAUAUAAAAGGAGGGGGGUGAUUACUCUAUAAUAACAGAGACUAAAAUUCAUAAUAACCAAAUGGGAAAUUUAUGAAACUUGAUGGAAUGGUGUUGUGGUUUUUAUCUAGAUGUCCCCCAAAGCCUCAUGCACUCAAAGGUGGGGCUUUGGGGAGGUGAUUGAAUCAUGGGGUUGUGAUACUCAUAGGUGGAUUAGUCCAAUGAUGAGCGUAUAGCUAAACGUGAUGUUUGGAGGUGGAGCCUGGUUGGAGGAGGUGGGUCACUGGGGGGUGUGGCCUGGGCCUAUCGCCCUCCUCCUCCCUUGAUUUCUCUCUGCCUCCUGCCUGCCCUGCCAUGGACUGUUUCUCCUCGCCAGACUCAUGCUGUUCUGCCUUGCCUUGGAGCCAGCAACUAUGGACUGAAUCCUUUAUAAAAUGUGGAUCAAAAUAAACCUUUCCUCCUUUAACUUGUGGAUGUUGGGUAUUUGUUUCAGUAGCAAGAAAGUAACUAAGACUUAUUAUUAUUAUUUUU
Molecule: long non-coding RNA, 831 nt
Filed under: Heterocephalus glaber (naked mole-rat)
Lineage: Eukaryota; Metazoa; Chordata; Mammalia; Rodentia; Bathyergidae
Description: lncRNA (ENSHGLG00100041543.1)
Source: RNAcentral